RNAcentral lists this ribosomal RNA (811 nucleotides) under uncultured bacterium. Its description in RNAcentral is "bacterial SSU rRNA". It matches the Rfam family "Bacterial small subunit ribosomal RNA", at positions 675 to 1533 of the family's 1533-position model. The record is from RNAcentral.
GUAGCGGUGAAAUGCGUAGAGAUCUGGAGGAAUACCGGUGGCGAAGGCGGCCCCCUGGACAAAGACUGACGCUCAGGUGCGAAAGCGUGGGGAGCAAACAGGAUUAGAUACCCUGGUAGUCCACGCCGUAAACGAUGUCGACUUGGAGGUUGUGCCCUUGAGGCGUGGCUUCCGGAGCUAACGCGUUAAGUCGACCGCCUGGGGAGUACGGCCGCAAGGUUAAAACUCAAAUGAAUUGACGGGGGCCCGCACAAGCGGUGGAGCAUGUGGUUUAAUUCGAUGCAACGCGAAGAACCUUACCUACUCUUGACAUCCAGAGAACUUAGCAGAGAUGCUUUGGUGCCUUCGGGAACUCUGAGACAGGUGCUGCAUGGCUGUCGUCAGCUCGUGUUGUGAAAUGUUGGGUUAAGUCCCGCAACGAGCGCAACCCUUAUCCUUUGUUGCCAGCGGUCCGGCCGGGAACUCAAAGGAGACUGCCAGUGAUAAACUGGAGGAAGGUGGGGAUGACGUCAAGUCAUCAUGGCCCCUUACGAGUAAGGGCUACACACGUUGCUACAAAUGGUCGCAUACAAAGAGAAAGCGACCUUCGCGAGAGUCAAGCGGACCUCAUUAAGUGCGUCGUAGUCCGGAUUGGAAGUCUGUCAACUUCGAUCUCAUGUAAAGUCUGAAAUCGCUUAGUUAAAUCGUAGAUCAGAAAUGCUUACGGGCUGAAAUUACGUUCCGGGACUUGGUUACACGACCGCUGGAUCACCAUCUAUGGGCAUUGGCUUGGCCAAAGCAACUAGGUUAGCCUUCAACCGUUCCCGUGAAG